Molecule: ribosomal RNA, 728 nt
Filed under: Nocardiopsis synnemataformans
Lineage: Bacteria; Bacillati; Actinomycetota; Actinomycetes; Streptosporangiales; Nocardiopsidaceae
Description: bacterial SSU rRNA
Rfam family: Bacterial small subunit ribosomal RNA
Source: RNAcentral
AUUACGGGUAGCCGGCCUGAGAGGGCGACCGGCCACACUGGGACUGAAACACGGCCCAGACUCCUGCGGGAGGCAGCAGUGGGGAAUAUUGCGCAAUGGGCGAAAGCCUGACGCAGCGACGCCGCGUGGGGGAUGACGGCCUUCGGGUUGUAAACCUCUUUUACCACCAACGCAGGCUCGAAGUUUUCUUCGGGUUGACGGUAGGUGGGGAAUAAGGACCGGCUAACUACGUGCCAGCAGCCGCGGUAAUACGUAGGGUCCGAGCGUUGUCCGGAAUUAUUGGGCGUAAAGAGCUCGUAGGCGGCGUGUCGCGUCUGCUGUGAAAGACCGGGGCUUAACUCCGGUUCUGCAGUGGAUACGGGCAUGCUAGAGGUAGGUAGGGGAGACUGGAAUUCCUGGUGUAGCGGUGAAAUGCGCAGAUAUCAGGAGGAACACCGGUGGCGAAGGCGGGUCUCUGGGCCUUACCUGACGCUGAGGAGCGAAAGCAUGGGGAGCGAACAGGAUUAGAUACCCUGGUAGUCCAUGCCGUAAACGUUGGGCGCUAGGUGUGGGGACUUUCCACGGUUUCCGCGCCGUAGCUAACGCAUUAAGCGCCCCGCCUGGGGAGUACGGCCGCAAGGCUAAAACUCAAAGGAAUUGACGGGGGCCCGCACAAGCGGCGGAGCAUGUUGCUUAAUUCGACGCAACGCGAAGAACCUUACCAAGGUUUGACAUCACCCGUGGACUCG